RNAcentral lists this non-coding RNA (27 nucleotides) under Mus musculus (house mouse). Lineage: Eukaryota; Metazoa; Chordata; Mammalia; Rodentia; Muridae. The record is from RNAcentral.
CAUAGACAUAUAGAAAUAUAAACACCC